RNAcentral lists this ribosomal RNA (786 nucleotides) under Bacillus amyloliquefaciens. RNAcentral describes it as "bacterial SSU rRNA". It matches the Rfam family "Bacterial small subunit ribosomal RNA", at positions 56 to 825 of the family's 1533-position model. The record is from RNAcentral. Lineage: Bacteria; Bacillati; Bacillota; Bacilli; Caryophanales; Bacillaceae.
UGCAGUCGAGCGGACAGAUGGGAGCUUGCUCCCUGAUGUUAGCGGCGGACGGGUGAGUAACACGUGGGUAACCUGCCUGUAAGACUGGGAUAACUCCGGGAAACCGGGGCUAAUACCGGAUGGUUGUUUGAACCGCAUGGUUCAGACAUAAAAGGUGGCUUCGGCUACCACUUACAGAUGGACCCGCGGCGCAUUAGCUAGUUGGUGAGGUAACGGCUCACCAAGGCAACGAUGCGUAGCCGACCUGAGAGGGUGAUCGGCCACACUGGGACUGAGACACGGCCCAGACUCCUACGGGAGGCAGCAGUAGGGAAUCUUCCGCAAUGGACGAAAGUCUGACGGAGCAACGCCGCGUGAGUGAUGAAGGUUUUCGGAUCGUAAAGCUCUGUUGUUAGGGAAGAACAAGUGCCGUUCAAAUAGGGCGGCACCUUGACGGUACCUAACCAGAAAGCCACGGCUAACUACGUGCCAGCAGCCGCGGUAAUACGUAGGUGGCAAGCGUUGUCCGGAAUUAUUGGGCGUAAAGGGCUCGCAGGCGGUUUCUUAAGUCUGAUGUGAAAGCCCCCGGCUCAACCGGGGAGGGUCAUUGGAAACUGGGGAACUUGAGUGCAGAAGAGGAGAGUGGAAUUCCACGUGUAGCGGUGAAAUGCGUAGAGAUGUGGAGGAACACCAGUGGCGAAGGCGACUCUCUGGUCUGUAACUGACGCUGAGGAGCGAAAGCGUGGGGAGCGAACAGGAUUAGAUACCCUGGUAGUCCACGCCGUAAACGAUGAGUGCUAAGUGUUA